GAUGAACGCUGGCGGCGUGCUUAACACAUGCAAGUCGAACGGAAAGGCCCCAGCUUGCUGGGGUACUCGAGUGGCGAACGGGUGAUUAACACGUGGGUGAUCUGCCCUGCACUUUGGGAUAAGCCGGGGAAACUGGGUCUAAUACCGAAUAUGACCACUGCUUGGUUGUUGGGGUGGAAAGACGUUGCGGUGUGGGAUGAGCCUGGGGCCUAUCAGCUUGUUGGUGGGGUAAUGGCCUGCCAAGGCGGCGACGGGUAUCCGGCCUGAGAGGGUGUACGGACACAUUGGGACUGAGAUACGGCCCAGACUCCUACGGGAGGCAGCAGUGGGGAAUAUUGCACAAUGGGCGCAAGCCUGAUGCAGCGACGCCGCGUGGGGGAUGAAGGCCUUCGGGUUGUAAACUCCUUUCGCUAUCGACGAAGCCACUUGUGGUGACGGUAGGUAGAUAAGAAGCACCGGUUAACUACGUGCCAGCCGCCGCUGUAA
Molecule: ribosomal RNA, 486 nt
Filed under: uncultured bacterium
Lineage: Bacteria
Description: partial 16S ribosomal RNA
Rfam family: Bacterial small subunit ribosomal RNA
Source: RNAcentral